This is a non-coding RNA of Lolium perenne, 397 nucleotides long. Lineage: Eukaryota; Viridiplantae; Streptophyta; Magnoliopsida; Poales; Poaceae. The record is from RefSeq and is a predicted model, not a curated record.
ACUUAUCUGCCAUGACCACUGUUUGAUCCCCGCACACCUUCCUGCCUACACGAGUGCUCCCGCUCCUCUGCGGGGGAGCACACGAUGGCCGUAGGUGGGGCGAUGUCACCAUAGCGGGCGGCCGCUGCCUGAGAUUAACUGUGGGUGGAUUAGCAUGGAGUAGGAGACGUGGAUGGACCCCACUCAGAACCAGCAGUCAUUAGGAGGACUCAGCCGCCAGACUCUUCCACGAGCCAGCUCCUCCAAGUCUACACUUUCUAUCUAUCGCUGCUCCAAUGACCAAGUUGUUGCGCGCGCCUGAACCGGACUCGGGAAAUCAAGUCAGUUGUUGCCCACGAGAAGCAGCAGAGGAACGGCAUGGCUAGCGCACAAAUACAAGGAGGGUAGCAGUGACACU